Molecule: unclassified non-coding RNA, 353 nt
Filed under: soil metagenome
Description: partial contains 5.8S ribosomal RNA, internal transcribed spacer 2, and large subunit ribosomal RNA
Rfam family: 5.8S ribosomal RNA (bases 1-120)
Source: RNAcentral
GAUGAAGAACGCAGCGAAAUGCGAUAAGUAAUGUGAAUUGCAGAAUUCAGUGAAUCAUCGAAUCUUUGAACGCACAUUGCGCCCGCCAGUAUUCUGGCGGGCAUGCCUGUUCGAGCGUCAUUACAACCCUCAGGCCCCCGGGCCUGGCGUUGGGGAUCGGCGGAAGCCCCCUGCGGGCACAACGCCGUCCCCCAAAUACAGUGGCGGUCCCGCCGCAGCUUCCAUUGCGUAGAAGCUAACACCUCGCAACUGGAGAGCGGCGCGGCCACGCCGUAAAACACCCAACUUCUGAAUGUUGACCUCGAAUCAGGUAGGAAUACCCGCUGAACUUAAGCAUAUCAAUAAGCGGAGGA